CUCGGUAAUGCGAUGAAUCAAUCCGGCGCCGAUGCUCACCCCACGACAAGAUCCAAACCGAAGCUAAGCAACUAUGGCGUCAAAUAGAUGGAAAAAGAAAGGGAUAGAGAGGUUCACGGGGCUUAAAAAGGGCGAAAUAAAUCUCCCAUGCGGAAAAUCCCGCAAAGAACAGAGAAGAGGGGGUGCGGACUCUCCUUCUGGAUUCCAGCUCGCAAACGGCUUGGGGAGGAAGAAGGAAAGGGGGAAGGGGACGCUGCGUAGUGGGCUCCACCUAUCAGUGACCGGUGGCGCGGGGCCAGUUUGCCAGAGAGAAAGAGAGGGAGAUGGCCUGUGGUGCCCCAUGGGCCUGCACGCAAGGGGAGAGAAGGGAGUUGGGCUGAGCUGGGCCACGUAGGAAAGAGGCAGGCCGAGGGAGAAGGGAAAGAAAAGGGGGAGAGGCCGAGAUGGGCUCUGGUGCCACUCGGGCCUAAAGCUGGGAUAGGGAGAUUUGUUGUUUUUGUUUGUUGUUUUUGUUUGUUUUUUUAAUCCCAAUGCAAUUUUGAAACCAUUUCAAAACAUUUUGAAUCAUUUCGAGUUUCUAGUCAAAACCACUCAGUACAAGAAAACAUAUGCUCUGACAUGAAUGCGCAAAUCACGGUGCUAAAUCCUAUGAUAAUUUUUAUUCAAAUGAAAAUAUUAUUUCUCUAUGUUUCAUGAGCAUAAAAAAAUACAAAUUUAAGUUAUUUUUCACCUAUUUCAAAAUGAGCUAAUUUUAGGGUGUUACAAAUCUACCCCCCUUAAAAUGAAUCUCGUCCUCGAGAUUCGCAAGAGACACGGAUUCCGAAAGAGAAGCAUGAACAAGAUAUUGACCACUAUUUCAACUUCACAACUGGUAUUCUAAAAGCAAACACUUAUGUCUCGGGAUCAAAACUUGUGAACAAAAUUUCCAUAAAAUGUCUAUUUUUCAUAAAUGUUCAAGGUCCAUCUUGGCUACCAACUUUUUGACUUAUACACUCAAGGACAUGAUAACUUAGCAUGGAUAUGUCUCCUCAGGUAGGAGUGGACCACCUUGAUACUCAACUCUCUUCCCUGAUGGUGCGGUUAAGAAAAUUUUCCACUGGGUAGCAUAGAUCACUCCUUUGUUUGCACAUAACCAUUCAUUGCCAAGAACCAAAGGAAUGUCGAGUGACUCUAGCACAAUGAGGUUUACCGUAAAUUUUUCAGUGCUUACGACCAAAUUGAUAUUUGAGCAAACCUUGUCCAUGGGACACUACACUCCCUGUCAUUAAGUGAACAACGUCAGUAACUCAGCAAGGAUAGUUGAUCAUAACCAUAGAAUAUCUCAGAAUACAAUUAUCACUUCAAGAUAGUUUUAUAAUGCAUCUUCCCGUGAUAUCAAGGUGCUACCCCGCUUAAAAUGAGAUUGAUUGGGGGACAUUAAGAACUAGUUUUCCUAUCCUUUUUGUACGCUACACAUCAUAGUCUUUUACAUUCGUUGUACCGAGUCUCUUGAUCCAGGUUAGUUUCAUAACUAAGUUCCAAUUAUCAGUACUUUUAUCACGGUUAAGUUGCUUCACUCUCGCAUCCCAAUUAUAACUUCGUAAACGUUGGUGUCAUCUGAUCCUCAUAACAUAACUCUCAAUCCAUGAGUAUCAGCAAUGACAUAUAUCUCCAUUAAUAUUCUCUGAAUGGGAUGAUAUCUUGAAUCAAAACCAAUUUACCAAGCGCUGUGAUCCUCACAUAUGAUCCAUCACUAACCAAUCCUUCUCGUUGUAACUCCUUUAACUAGGCUACCCCCUUAAAAGGGUCAACUAGGGGACACAAGAAAAGUAGCUCACAUCUUUUUCAGCUAAUUUAACUAACAUUGAGAACUUCUGACAUCCCGAAGAACUUUUGUGCAAGAGAACAAACAGGUAUCCUGAAAUUUUCUCGUGAUAUGAAAACACCAGCGUAGUAAAAUAGGUAUAACUCUUAUUCUGUUAAUCCAUUAGAGUUAUAGCUUAUACCGUUAGAAAGCUUAUGAAAUUCACCACAACUUUCCUGUAGAAGACCUCCUUAGAUUCUGUCUUUAAGAUUAGGUAAAACAGCCAAACUUAAUAUCCAUCCUGAAAAUGUCUCAGCAAAGGUGCAGUAGCUUCCAGAAAUUAUAUCUCGAGCUACUUAACUCAUCUGGAGAUGAUCCUUAUAUUGUUGAAAAUAUUAUGAAAUCCUCUACAACUUUCGUAUACCAUAGUUUCCCAAAUUCUGUCUUUACUUGGCUGAGAAUAGGAAAUGCCAGAUCUGUCCAGAUUUUGAAACAGAACAGAAACAUCCAAGUGUAAAUGUCAUAUCUCAGGUUCUACUUAUCCAAAUAAGUUCCCGCUUAUACUGUUGGAUAUAUUAGAAAAUUGUCUACAACUUUUAUAUAGACCACUUUUCCAAAUUCUAUAGAUAUAUUUGUCUAAAACAGUAAGUAACUGAAACUGGUCCAGAUUUCUGACAGCACAACUGCAUCAUCUUGUGAUUUUUGUAACUUCCAAACCAUAAUAGCUAUGAGGGUGAUUCUUACGGUCAGAGAAAGAUCUCGAAGUCUAUUUGUUCCCAGAAAAAUUUAAUAAACGUUGCACGACCAGAACUUGAGAUACACCAGAAUUAUUGUAGACUGCUCCAAAACUCAGCAAAGGAUAGAAACAGGAUAUAACCAAACCCAACUACUUAUGUCAUUACUCCUUAUGCCUUAGGCCUAUAAACUAAAUGAUAUUAUGGAGAAAUCCCAAAACAUUAUUGCACUCAUUAUAAAGAUCCAAAUCAAGCAUAAGCAUAAUAACAAACCAGCAUUGAAGGUUCACACUUCACUCAACUUGCGAUACUAUCGUUCUCUUCGUAGUAAGGGUAAAGAUCCUAAGAUUCCCUUUCAACUACGUAAGCAGGUGGUAAGAGAAGUCCUAAAAGCAUAUCAAGCAAGGAGUGGAGAUGAGAACAAGUCUUUAAAAUAAGCAACAAGGUGAAGAUGAAUAGCAAUGAAAAGGAUAUAGUAUAGAGGAAAAUAUCAAGGUUUAUAGAGCAAGGAUUUUGUAGCAAUUUCAAAACCUUAAGAUGGCCAAUUUCUAACUAGGCUUGCGUCCUACAGCCAACAUUGCUCUGAUACCACUUUGUAAUACCCGAUUUUAAGGACAAAACCAUAUAUGCACCAUAUGUGAGUUUUAGAAAACAAAUCUCACAUAUAGCUACAAAUAAGGGGUAAUAUCAAAAGACAAUGCAUAAAUAUAUAAUGUACUUAGUAUAAAAGAGAUAACCUUCAGUAUCAAACAGCGGAUAGAUAACUCCAAACUUCGGGUAUUAGCUCCUCUCCACAGGAUCAAACUGACUGGUUGAUCACAAGCCUAAAGCAUCUCCUGAAGUGUGGGGGAAAUUGCAAGAGUGAGCACAUAUCGUACUCAACAAGUAUAACCAGGGGUUCAUGAGGCUCAAUUAGCUGACACUAGUUUGACUGCAUUUAGCUUUUAUAUGUGGAUAGCAUAUUUAAUUAUUGGAUAGCAAAUAUCAAGGUAUCAUAUUAAAUCCCAUAACCACAUGAUCAAUUGUAUACAAGAAUUAAGAAUAACACAUAUAAACAACAUAAUAAACCAUCAAUUAUCAUCAUUAAUCAUGUUCAUCAGUGUCCAUCUAUUCCAUCAGUUUUCCGGGCCACCUGUAUCCGUGGGCACGGCUAGUAUACCAAAUUUAACACUCUGCAGAGGUUGUAUACCUUUACCCAUGAGUCAUGAUUUACCCUUUCGCCCGAGGCCCGUCGACCUCUUAGCUCACUUCCAAGGAAAGCCGGCAGGGUUCACUAUGAAGUCUUUCAAAGGUUCGUCUAACAAGUUAGGGCCGCAAGGUUUCCUUUGCGCGUAGAUAUAGAUACCCCCCUUCCGAAUGGCACAAUGACGCGCAGCCUAUACACAUAGGGACAGGGGCUCGCACUAUACCCAAAACGGUUCAGCCCCUCCGCCCUUUCGGGUAACCGCUAACAAGCUAGAAAAGCUUACUCAUACUUGACUAAAGCUAGAGCCAUAUAGCCCUCAUUGUUGUACGAGUUGUCCCAGCUUUUGCCAAGGGAUAAGUCCUCAUGGAGGGUCAAGAUCAAUCCAGCAAAAGCCAGAGUUCUUUCCACCCUUUAUAUUCAAGUUGCUAGAAAGCUUAUUUUAUUGUUUAUUGUAUAUCCAAACAUUCAUGUUACAAGAUCAUGGAUUAUAAUCAAGCACUAGCAAGAACUACCCAAAUGCAUGUCCAAAUAGGUAACAAGGAAUUCAGGAUAACAAUCAUCUAUGAUUUUGCUAAGGUCAUCAAGGUGGACACAUGCAUAUGAUAAGUAUUGUAUUAAUUGUGUAUAGGUAACAAGGAUGGUCCCCGAUUAUACUUGCCUUGAUCAAAGCUCUCCUGAGCCUGCUGCUGGUCGUCAAAAGCUUGACCUUGAUCACCAACGUAAAGCUCACCGACUAAACUCGAUCAUCAAUCAACAACACGCAAUCUAAUGGAGACAAUCAUACACAAAGUAAACAAGCUAUAAUUAGAACAAUACACCAAACAGUGGUAAAACAAAUAUAAAAGUUUAUCAAAAUGUUCUACGCAGCACUACGAUCACACAAACGUAAAGUUCACGAAAAUCGGAGUUAAAACGUAGAAGAUAUGAAUUUUCUAUAGAUAAAUAGUUAAUUAAAUAGAGUCACAAAAUUAAAAAGUUUCAAACUGAGUAAAUAAUUUUACUAACAUGUAUAGCUCAUUAAUAUAAAUCUAACGCAACUUGAAUGGGAUAAAACGGAAUUAAAACAAAUAUUUUAUAAGCGUUUUAAAAUCAGUGGCGAACUUGUAAAUAGAGAAAACUUAUUUUCAACAAAACCGACGGAGAAUACUUUUUAGAGUUGGAAAACGUAAUUUUAAAGGGGCGCCAAGGACUGCGGGUUAGUUCUCCAAUUUUACAGGGUCUCUUUAGCAAAAUUAACCCCGAAGGGGUAUCUUUUUUUGUGAGCCGUUGAUUUGUGAUCCAACGGAUGAGAUUCGAUCUGGGGGAAAGGGUCUGACGCCGGGGCGCCAUGGACUGCGGGUUAGUUCUCCAAUUUUACAGGGUCUCUUUAGCAAAAUUAACCCCGAAGGGGUAUCUUCUUUUGUGAGCCGUUGAUUUGUGAUCCAACGGAUGAGAUUCGAUCUGGGGGAAAGGGUCUGACGCCGGCGGCCGGAACAGUGGCGCCCGCGGCGGACCACCAUUGUUGGCGUCGAGCUUCUCACCGGAGUGUUGACACUUACUAACACCACUUGAAUACUAGAUUGUCAUCCCCAGCAUGGCACUAGAGUGUAUUAUGGUAUUUAUACGCACACAGAUAAUCCGCAAGCGCACGGAUACCGUUGAAGCUUUUACCCGGUUAAAGGUUUUAUCGUAUCCACAGGGAAAUGGGAGAACUGAUCUACGCUCUAACUUAACCAAGAUAAGUAAAUAGGUGUGAAUAGGAAAGAUGGUAGAAUCAAAUAAGAACAAUAUUAAAGGUAAGAUAACAGUGAGUGAUAAUAUGGAAAUAGAUAGUAGAGCAAUUCUAGUAUAUGGGCGAUGGUAGCAGAAUAGAGAGGUUAACUAUGGUUUCUCUACUUCAAAGGGGUAUGUCUAUGUCUGGGACGAACCAUGUGAUAAGAGUACACCACAAAGGAUGCUUAUCCUUAGGCCGAUAAACCCUACCCGUCCUGCUAACGAGAGGUGGACUACAGGGGACCAACGUAACUGUCACCUACGCGGCCUACCACACGAUCCAGCUAGUCAGGGGAUAUCCACAAGUAAUCUAGGUCUAAGCACCACGCUUACACCUAUACUACAACUCUAACCUAUAGGGUCCUAUAGAUUAGAAGUACUCAAAAGAGUUGUGAACCAGAACAUACAUGAUUAGUAAUUGCAUAAUGAAUUAGAAGUAGAUUACCAGAGUCAUCCCAUGAGCAAGCUUGAUUAGAGCUUGAUCAUGGCGAAGUACAACCGGAGGAAGAACCGACAGGCCGGCCUCUCCUCUAAUCCUCCUUCGCUCUCCAUCUCGCUACUAUCUAGAUCUACUCUAGUUUAGAGAAGAGAGGAGAGCUCUCAUCUCUAAACCCUAGCUUUUGCUCUGUCUAUGAAUAAUGAAUAAUGAUCAAGGGGGUGCCUCCUCCAGGGGCCAGGGGGUCUGGUUUUAUAGUCCCCUCAAGUGAACCUGGGCCGUCGGAUCAAACCGACAUUGAUUGAACGGUUAUUCUUGAUCCUUUAGGUCGGUGGAGCAUAAUCCGCGAGAUUGAGCGUGAUUGGCCAUAGGAGGUGGGCGGGCGCCCAGUAGGACAGGGCGGGCGCCCUGUCUCUGGCCCCAUUUCGCCUCCGCUUCGGUCUCGUGGCUUCUGGAGUCUUCUAGAUGUAAGAUAAUUGCGCGGCACGUUGAUAUCUCUAUGUAAUCCCGACGUGUGGGCCUUUCUUCCUUAUUUCCUGAUAACCCCCUGCAGAAAUAGACAAACACCAAAACUCGUGGAAUUCUGUCAGAUAAAACCCUAAGUCUAGAUGUUGAUUUCAUUUGGAUCCUUUUCUUUGUUUAUUUGAUAAUUAAAUUUGAUACUUAAGGACCGUCAACAAACUUCCCCAAGCUUACCUCUUGCUCAUCCCUGAGCAAGGAUAGACUCAGCAAUGGAUCAGAAGUUGUUGCAAUAUCUUAAAAAUUUGACGGUACACAUACUUUUAAAUGAGGUCUCAUCUCUGAGUUAGAGUAAACUGUCAAGACUUAAAACUUACUUACUUUACCUUUCACCAUGGGACUUGUAACCGUCACUUCUGUCUUGAGUGGUUAAAAGAUAGAACAGUCCCGUCAAGUGCCAUGUCUCUUAUUCGUGAUCAGCUAUAGCUCUGGAGUUUUUGCAGAUUUUCAAAUAAAACUCAGAGAUUCCUUUGUAUGACUCUCUCAUAUCUCUCUUUUGUGGUAUUUCUGGAUCCUUACCAAGGCAGUGAUGGUAUAUGCCUUCUCUCAAAAUAUGUGGUAUUUGUGGUAUAAGGGAUAGUGACAUUGCCCUCUCUCUCACCCUACUCUAAUAAGGCUUUAAUAUCUGGAGCUCAUAGGUGGGAGAUAAAGUAUACAUACUUACAAGAAAUUUAUUGUAUAGUCAAACCAUGGAUCCAAAGAAACAAAUCAAUAAGCCAAAUCAAGAUGUGCAUGUGUGGCGAAUGAAUAGUGUAUGGUGAUGAUGGUGAUAACAAUGGUGAAAGUCUAAUUCUACUUUUGCUCUUUUGAGGGGAUACAUACCUUCCUUGCUUUUUGAAACUUUAUGAGGAGAAUGAGAUGCUCUUCUUUUUCUUUCCUCUCAGGUGGGUAUCUUGUACCCCUAAUUCUACUGUCGGACACUUGUCCAUUUUUACCUCUCGUCUCACUCUUUUUGUUUUCUUUCGAGGUUCCGGGCACUUGCCCCUUUUUAUUUCCUCGUUUAUUUUUUUUUCUUUUCUUUUUUUUUCUUCUUUUUUUUUCAGAGCACUCAUCUCUUGAGAUAAUAUAGCAAGUGGUAGUCGCAAGAUAACUUGAGCAUUUAUUUUACAAGAGAAAAACACAGAUGUUUUUGGCUAUUCUCUCCCGAAUUAGGAGUAGAAUAUUUUUAGGUGAUUUUGGAGAUGGAAAUGGAUGGAUAUAUGUGGAUGGUACUUCCGGAGUAGAAGUAGCAUAUAUGAGUGAACGUGCAAGUGAAUCUUGAUUUAACCACAUGACAAGCUCCUAAGGGUCUACACAGCUUGACUACACUCAAUGCUCAUAAGCAGUAAAUAAUAAAUGUGUGGCUCAAAGUCUAGCAAGCAUGUAUAUAUGGCUGUGGUAGAAAUUUAAACUCUCAUCAUACAGGAACUCAUCAUGCAACAUUUUAAAGAUUUUCAAAGAUAAAAUUCUCUAGAAUUCUAGCAUCUCUAGGAACAGAUAAACAGCAGCUCAACCUUCCCAUAUCUUAUCCGUUAACAACUUAGAUUUCAGAUCAAGUUUUCAUCCCACAAGUUUAGAUCUAGAGCAAGCUUUAAAUUAUAACAGUUAUGUCUAAACUUGAGAGAGAACUUUAAAUUUGCAAAUUAGGCAGAGCAACUAUUCAUCAUAUCCAUGCUAGAGUUUUAUUAUUAAGAUUCAUAGCAAACUUUAUUUAUUUAUUUAUUUAUUUAUUUAGCAAACUAAGAAAAGAUAUAUAUAUAUAUAAGCAUAAAAUCUUUAUUUGGUUUUUCAUAGUUUAUGUAUUUUAAUAUUCUAAUAUAAGUAUAAAGAUAGGUAGAAAUACUUAGUGAGAUAAAUAGGGGUGCUUUCCCCCAAGCUGAAUUUUGACGUAAUUUCUCUUGAUGUAGCUAGCAGGUGGCAGAGGUGUAUUUGAAAGUCAGCAGCAUUCUGACAGCGAUUAGAAUGUCCUCCGUCUGCUAGUCUUCUUGAUUCUUAAAUUCUGUGGAGCUCAAAUAGACAACAAAGCUUGUGGAACUAAUUAAGUGUUAGCAUAAAUAUCUAGCCUUCAUCACGUUGAGCUUCCUCAAUAAAUAUUACUCCCUGUUUUUAUAUAUUUUUAUUUUAUAAAGUAGAAAAGAAAUAUUUAUUUUAUUUUUAUGCCACCACAGUGAAGGUACUUAUGGGUUUUAUGCCACUCGUAUACUCACAUGGGGCUUAGUAUUUUUUAACAUUUUUAUUAGCUUUUCAAGAUAGCAUGAUUAACUAAAAAUCUAUUUAAGGAAAGUAAAUAAUUAAAGGGAAAAGGAAAUGCAGAAAGGAUAAAUAUGGAUAACUACCAAUCUUACCUUUCGGCGAGAGUUCAAUGUUUUAAGUCUUCUUGACAAGACUUCUCACCGUGUUCAUUCUUCAGGUGCGUCAUUUGAUUCAGGUGCGGACCUUGACGUCUGCACCUUUUAAUACGGUGUCACCCAUGUUCUUCGUUUGCCCAGCAGUUCGAAGUGCGGUGCUAGCAGUAUCUUGCUCACUGUGUUUGUGCUCGUAGUGUACCUGCUCAUAGAGACAAGGCAGAGAUCAAGUGCAUGGGCCCUGUUGGUGGAAAACACCAACAGAACCAAAAGUGUAUUUGUUCUUCUCUAACCUUAAGCAUAGUGAGCAAGACAAAGUUGAUGGAUGAUAAGUUCAUGAGUGUAGCACUUAUAACAUUUGUCAGAUCAGAUCGCUCAACCUUAUAGAAAGAUAAUCUAUCUAUGUAUAUGUCUUUUUCUUUAUAUCUCUCAAUGAUUGAAUGUGUAACAUUUUAGCUCAUAUGAUUAGGAGUGUGGGAUCACGGAGGUAGUACUAAGAACAAGGAUUAAAGGACUAAACAUGUUGAAUCAGUUGGGUUGGUUAAUCUAGAGUUGUAAAUCAUACACGUUUGUCUCUUUUAUUUAUAUGAACGCCAGAACCAAGGAGAAGCUUAUAAAAGUGAUAGUCAAGUACCUUAAGAUGUUACCUUGCUUGAAGAGUGAUGGUACAGUAUCAUCUUGUGGAAGCUUUCCUUUCUUAGCAGUUGUGCAUCGUGUUUGUGGCACCGUCCAUGGAUCAUCUCUCUAUGAUGAAUGAGCUAUGUCCUUCUUGUGCAAAUUGUUAAACUUCAUAUGUCACUCUCUUCGUCUCUGAUGUGAGUUUAUCUCAGGACUUCCCAAAUCAAUAUUGAAAGUUUUUUUGUAGGGGUUAGUCCGACAAAAUAUACCAAUAUCAACUCAAGCAGUUUUUUUUAGUUCAAUAACCAAACUAGACUCCAUGUCUAAUCAGAUUAAGGAAGGCUAUUUAACCUAAGCACCAUGCUUAAUUUAAAUGCCAAUGGAAGUAUGGCGAGUACUUCCAAACCAACACUUGCUAGUAAAUAGACAAAGGUAGCAUGACAGCAUUUAUAGAGAUCUACUCAAGUGGAGAUGAAGUAGUGUGAUUAGUAUUUAACAAAUUGAGCAUGUCUCAAAGGUAGGGACAACCAGCAUAGCAACAUGGCAAAGGAUGUUUUUAUGUAAAGUACUCCCCCAAGCUUGAAUUUUGCAAAAUUCAAGUUUGGAUGAAUUUAAUCCAAUGUUGUAUGAUGAUUGGUUGGACAUACCUUGUGCUUGUCAUUCAUCCGAUCUUCUUGCUCCAAUCCUAGAAAGGUUAGUGACAAGAAUACCCAAAGGAAUAUUUUUUUUUACAAUUAUCCUUAUAUGCUCAAUACACAAGGUAAUGUUGCAAAUAAUUAAAAGCUCAUGUUACGAUCUGAUCAAUGCUUAUUUUAAGACACUAAGCUUGUCCUUAGGAAACCAUCAGUUUAUGUUGGCGAAGUGGUUUCCCCUCUGACGCCAACCUAUAUCUAGAUCAACUCAACGAGAUCUGCAAUAUUUAUUAUAGACAUAUGCAUCGACAACCGCCCUUUUAAAGUUUUUAUAAAUAGAAAGGAAGAGGGGGUUGGAGAUCUCAAGUGUGGUGAUGUCGGAGAGACCAAUAGAUUGGAAAGAUGUUGCAUAUGAGCAUGGAGUAAACAAAGUGGCUAUGAAAUAAAUUCCAUGCUCAUUAAUGUUAUCUUCGUCUCCAAUCUGAAUGUUCGGAGUUUCUUCUGGAUUGGUCUCACCUAUGUUCUCUUCUAUAGUUGGAUGAAUCUCAUCUUCAAAGGGAGUCAAGAACUCACCAUUUGAAAUUGAGCCAAAGUCAGAACCCAUUAAGGCUUCUUCCUUAUCCAUCCAUUUUACACAUUCUAGCCAUUUAGAACUUGUGAUCAAAAUAGGGGAGGUGUUAGAAUUUUCUAUAUGGCUUAGCUCUCCUUCUAUGGCAUCACUUGACAUGCCAUCCUUAUGGUCUUCAUGACUCCUAUGGUUUGGUCGUCUUGGUGAAUUGCUAGGAUCAUCAUGAGACUGAAAAGAAGAGGGAUAAGAGGGAUCUCUAAGGUCAAGGAUGGAUUUAGAACUUGUGAACAUGGAAGGGGAGUAGAUAGAAUUGUCUAUAUGGCUUAUCUCUCCUUCACUUGAUAUGUCAUCCUCGACUUCUUCAUGAUAGGAACCAGGACAUUCUCUAAGAGAAACAUUAUUGCAAGGAUUUGAAUUAUCCCUGCUUGAAGGUCUCUUAUAGAACCAGAAGUCUAAACCAUCAGCAUCUAAAAGAUUUAAGGUCGGAAUUCCUUCCUCCCUUGGAGAAUUUUGGGGUAUUGAUGGUUUAGGAUCGAUAGCUAAAGUUUGGGAUUGAAGUGGUUGUGAUCUGGCUAUCGAAACUUCUUCUUCUUGUCUAGGAACUGGUUCUUUCUCUUUCUCAGGGAUAUAAAAGCUAGGAGACUUUCCACUCAUUAAAUCAAUCAAAUUCCAAGCUUCACUAGCGGAUAGGUGGUGGAAAGAUCCUCCAGAGGCCGCAUGAAGGGUUUGCUUAUCUUCCUUACUAAGGCCCUCAAAAAAGUGAAUUAGAAGAACUUCUUCUGGAAUAGAAAGUUUUGGGCCAAUGAGAGUAAGGUUAAUAAAUCGGUCCCAUGAUUUGCCAAGAGAUUCUUCUUCCAGUUGUCUAAAAGAAAGAAUCUCACGCCGAAGUUCCACCACUUUGGAGAUUGGAAAAUAUUUAGAAAGAAAACUACUAUAUAACUUCUUCCAAUCUCCAUGAACACUCCCUACUUUGAGUUUAUACCAAUGUCUAGCUUUUCCCGUUAAAGAGAACGGAAAGAGCUUCCAUUUAAGGGUCUCAUCGGACAUGCCUUCUAUGCGAAGGAGGUCACAGACUCGAUAAAACUCUCUUAGGUGUGUGUAUGGGUUUUCCUCACCUUCUCCUGAGAAAGGUUGUUUUUGAAUAAAUUCUAUGUAUUUGGGGUCUAUCUCAAAACUAGAUGCUAUGAUAGGCUUUGAAGAUUUUGGUGGUUCGAGAUGUGUGCCCAUAGGUCUAUGAAAUUCAUAGAUAGACAUGUUUGAAUUCAUAAUAGACCAGAGAUCAAGGAUUAGAUAAGAAGAAAGAAUAGCAGAGAUGAGGCAAAGGAUAAAAGGAAAAUAUUUAUUUAUUUUUUAUUUAUUUUUUUAUAAAAUGAUUAAACUAGUUCGUAGUCAACUCAGCAACCGUUUCCCCGGCAACGGCGCCAAAAAUGCUUGUUGACACUUACUAACACCACUUGAAUACUAGGUUGUCAUCCCCAGCAUGGCACUAGAGUGUAUUAUGGUAUUUAUACGCACACAGAUAAUCCGCAAGCGCACGGAUACCGUUGAAGCUUUUACCCGGUUAAAGUUUUAUCGUAUCCAUAGGGAAAUGGGAGAACUGAUCUACGCUCUAACUUAACCAGGAUAAGUAAAUAGGUGUGAAUAGGAAAGAUGGUAGAAUCAAAUAAGAACAAUAUUAAAGGUAAGAUAAUAGUGAGUUAUAAUAUGGGAAUAGAUAGUAGAGCAAUUCUAGUAUAUGGGCGAUGGUAGCAGAAUAGAGAGGUUAACUAUGGUUUCUCUACUUCAAAGGGGUAUGUCUAUGUCUGGGACGAACCACGUGAUAAGAGUACACCACAAAGGAUGCUUAUCCUUAGGCCGAUAAACCCUACCCGUCCUGCUAACGAGAGGUGGACUACAGGGGACCAACGUAACUGUCACCUACGCGGCCUACCACACGAUCCAGCUAGUCAGGGGAUAUCCACAAGUAAUCUAGGUCUAAGCACCACGCUUACACCUAUACUACAACUCUAACCUAUAGGGUCCUAUAGAUUAGAAGUACUCAAAAGAGUUGUGAACCAGAACAUACAUGAUUAGUAAUUGCAUAAUGAAUUAGAAGUAGAUUACCAGAGUCAUCCCAUGAGCAAGCUUGAUUAGAGCUUGAUCAUGGCGAAGUACAACCGGAGGAAGAACCGACAGGCCGGCCUCUCCUCUAAUCCUCCUUCGCUCUCCAUCUCGCUACUAUCUAGAUCUACUCUAGUUUAGAGAAGAGAGGAGAGCUCUCAUCUCUAAACCCUAGCUUUUGCUCUGUCUAUGAAUAAUGAAUAAUGAUCAAGGGGGUGCCUCCUCCAGGGGCCAGGGGGUCUGGUUUUAUAGUCCCCUCAAGUGAACCUGGGCCGUCGGAUCAAACCGACAUUGAUUGAACGGUUAUUCUUGAUCCUUUAGGUCGGUGGAGCAUAAUCCGCGAGAUUGAGCGUGAUUGGCCACAGGAGGUGGGCGGGCGCCCAGUAGGACAGGGCGGGCGCCCUGUCUCUGGCCCCGUUUCGCCUCCGCUUCGGUCUCGUGGUUUCUGGAGCCUUCUAGAUGUAAGAUAAUUGCGCGGCAUGUUGAUAUCUCUAUGUAAUCCCGACGUGUGGGCCUUUCUUCCUUAUUUCCUGAUAACCCCCUGCAGAAAUAGACAAACACCAAAACUCGUGGAAUUCUGUCAGAUAAAACCCUAAGUCUAGAUGUUGAUUUCAUUUGGAUCCUUUUCUUUGUUUAUUUGAUAAUUAAAUUUGAUACUUAAGGACCGUCAACACGGAGUUCGCUAAAACGACGCUGCGGUUCACCAAAAACGAAGCCGAGGGCAUGGGGAGCAAGAGGGGGUUAACACGAGCUCACCUAGGGCAGAAAACGAAGGCGAGGAGGUCUCGGAGAGGGCGUUCGCCGCGAGACGGCGGGCGGCGGCUUCUGUAAAAGUUCGGCUAUGGUUAGAAAUCGAACCGGGGCGAGUUAACACUGGAGAAGGGUCUUGGCAUCUCCGCAAGGAUGAAACGAAGCUCGGCAACAUGCUCACUAGCUCGGUAAUGCGAUGAAUCAAUCCGGCGCCGAUGCUCACGCCACGACAAGAUCCAAACCGAAGCUAAGCAACUAUGGCGUCAAAUAGAUGGAAAAAGAAAGGGAUAGAGAGGUUCACGGGGCUUAAAAAGGGCGAAAUAAAUCUCCGACGCAGAAAAUCCCACAAAGAACGGAGAAGGGGGGUGCGGACUCUCCUUCUGGAUUCCAGCUCGCAUACGGCUUGGGGAGGAAGAAGGAAAGGGGGAAGGGGACGCUGCGUAGUGGGCUCCACCUGUCAGUGACCGGUGGCGCGGGGCCGGUUUGCCAGAGAGAAAGAGAGGGAGAUGGUCUGUGGUGCCCCAUGGGCCUGCACGCAAGGGGAGAGAAGGGAGUUGGGCCGAGCUAGGCCAUGUAGGAAAGAGGCAGGCCGAGGGAGAAGGGAAAGAAAAGGGGGAGAGGCCGAGAUGGGCUCUGGUGCCACUCGGGCCUAAAGCUGGGAUAGGGAGAUUGGCUGAUUUUGUUUGAUUUUUUGAAUGAAUUUUUAAACCCAAGGCAAUUUUGAAACCAUUUCAAAACAUUUUGAAUCAUUCUGAGUUUCUAGACAAAACCACUCAAUACAAGAAAACAUAUGCUCUGACAUGAAUGCACUAAUCACGCAGCUAAAUCCUAUGAU
Molecule: long non-coding RNA, 14237 nt
Filed under: Sorghum bicolor (sorghum)
Lineage: Eukaryota; Viridiplantae; Streptophyta; Magnoliopsida; Poales; Poaceae
Description: long non-coding RNA (SBIC_LNC016021)
Source: RNAcentral